CAUGCAAGUCGAACGGUCUUAUGUAGCAAUACGUGAGGCAGUGGCAAACGGGUGAGUAACACGUAAGCGAUCUGCCUUGAAGACCGGGAUAACCCCGCGAAAGCGGGACUAAUACCGGAUGUUGUAGCCGGGUCGCAUGACCUGGUUAUGAAAGGGAAUCCGCAAGGAAACCGCUUCAAGAUGAGCUUGCGGCCUAUCAGCUAGUUGGUGAGGUAACGGCCCACCAAGGCUAUGACGGGUAGCUGGUCUGAGAGGACGGCCAGCCACACUCGCACUGAGACACGGGCGAGACUCCUACGGGAGGCAGCAGUGAGGAAUAUUCCGCAAUGGGCGAAAGCCUGACGGAGCGACGCCGUGUGGGUGAUGAAGUCUUUCGGGAUGUAAAGCCCUGUCAGAGGGGAAGAUAUAGACG
Molecule: ribosomal RNA, 412 nt
Filed under: uncultured bacterium
Lineage: Bacteria
Description: bacterial SSU rRNA
Rfam family: Bacterial small subunit ribosomal RNA
Source: RNAcentral